CCUACGGGAGGCAGCAGUGAGGAAUAUUGGUCAAUGGGCGGGAGCCUGAACCAGCCAAGUCGCGUGAGGGAAGACGGUCCUAUGGAUUGUAAACCUCUUUAGGCGGGGAGCAAUGCCGGGCACGCGUGUCCGGAGGGAGAGUACCCGCAGAAUAAGCAUCGGCUAACUCCGUGCCAGCAGCCGCGGUAAUACGGAGGAUGCGAGCGUUAUCCGGAUUUAUUGGGUUUAAAGGGUGCGUAGGCGGAUUUUUAAGUCAGCGGUAAAAUGUCCGGGCUCAACCCGGGCCGGCCGUUGAAACUGGGGAGCUUGAGUGGGCGAGAAGUAUGCGGAAUGCGGGGUGUAGCGGUGAAAUGCAUAGAUAUCACGCAGAACUCCGAUUGCGAAGGCAGCAUACCGGCGCCCGACUGACGCUGAGGCACGAAAGCGUGGGGAUCGAACAGGAUUAGAUACCCGUGUAGUC
RNAcentral lists this ribosomal RNA (460 nucleotides) under uncultured bacterium. Its description in RNAcentral is "partial 16S ribosomal RNA". It matches the Rfam family "Bacterial small subunit ribosomal RNA", at positions 338 to 795 of the family's 1533-position model. The record is from RNAcentral.